Long non-coding RNA from Pezoporus occidentalis (night parrot), 2117 nucleotides. RefSeq lists it as uncharacterized. The transcript has 4 exons. Lineage: Eukaryota; Metazoa; Chordata; Aves; Psittaciformes; Psittacidae. The record is from RefSeq and is a predicted model, not a curated record.
AGUGCUACUUUCCUAACUUAAAAGCAAAACCUGUUCCUUUGCUGCACAUCGUGCGAGUCUGCAGACACAGUGCAGGAAGAUGGGCAGAGGCCAGGAGCGCUUUCAUCUUAAUGGGGCUCUGCGUGUGUGUGAACAUCCCGGGGGGAGCCCUCUCAGGGAAGAGCUUCAGAGCCCGAGGCAGUGUGCAGUGCCGAUAAGGAGAUGAAACAAUAGCUGCGACACCGAGAGCCUUCACACAAUUACUUGGGCCACUGUGAGACCUCUAAAACACAGCAUUGGAGCCCAAUGUGAAGAUUUAGCAAUGCACAAGCUGUGCCCUGGCAGAGAUGGGAAACCUGAGAUGUCCUUGCUUGAGAUCCAGAAGUGGAGCCAAGGAACUGUUCCCAAACUUCUAUUAUUGCUGCCUCAUUUCCUCAUUAAUGCCACAGAGAUUGAUGUGAAGGGACUUCCACGGUGCUAAUGGAAUCACCCACCCAAAUCUCCCCUGUGCCAAUGGCAGGGAACGCUCCAGUUCUCUGCCCUUACGUUAGUGCUGGAGAAAUGCACCACAACUCUAAGCAAGUGAUGGGAUGAUCCUUGGUGAACAGAAGAUGAAGCAAUGGCUGAAGGUCUUUGGGGGAAGAUGUGGAUGUUGGCAUCUCUUUGGUGGAGAGUUUGCACUGAUCACAGAUGGAGAGAGCAAGACACUGGAGCAGGUAUGGGACUAGAGAUCAAGGCUUUCAUCUGUAAUGCUUUGGUCUCUGACACCCCACAGAGAUCCCUGGUGGCCAAUGACUGCCUCUUCCAAAGAGGAAUAUGUCCUGGUAGCAAGACCUCCGGUUUGUGGUAAAAAUAACUAUUGCUUACUUCACAGGCCCACAGAAAAGCACCUGCCUGGACUGCAGGAGACCAGCAAAUCACAGGCAUGAAACAGACAUGUCAGCUUCUGUGCAGAACACUUAUCGGUGAAUUUAGGCUGCCCCUUCUUCACAUCUCCAUGGAAAACCUUGGGAUUAUCUUGACUUUUAUCCACACAGGGAAGGUGAAAUGGUCUAAAUGUUAAUGAUUCAUGGGAUGCAGGCUGCCUCUCAGUUUCAAUAAAUGCAUUAGCCUCUUUGUGAAGAGCUGUUUUGAAUUCAUAGAACGUUUUUAAAGUUUCUUUCAAAGACUGUGUUUUUCCUUUCCUCUCAUGUAUCUCAGAAGAAACCAGCCUGCCAAACUGGGUCCAGGCAGCUCUUCUGAGAUAGAGACAUCCAUCUCUGUGUACGGUCUGUACUUGUGAAGCAGAGCACAAAGCCCUUUUCCCCAUUUAAUCCAUAUUAAUUAUCUCUCUUGCAGCUCCUCUAUAGUUUCCACUCGAUCCAGGCACCAAAACGUGUGCGGCUGCAUCUUGAACAAACCAGGGCCUUUCACUGCACACCUGGCAAGUGAACACUCCAAAAAUACAGUAAAUAAAAAGGUUUAGUGCUGAAGGAUUGAAGCUCUCUCCACGCUUGAAAACCGAAUGCCGUGGGACUGGGGACUAAGGCAGAUAUUUUUAGUGCCAUCAAUAUCUCCUGGAGUUGAUAUCUCCCAAGACAGAUGGUUGUUUCCCACAGAACGUUGUCAAAUGUUUGCUCAGCCAAGAUCAAUUUUGUUCCAAGUCCUUUCCCACCUUCUGGUGAAAGAUAUUUCACUUGCCAGACAAAAAAUUAAAGAAACAGCAUGAAACCGUGUCACUCCAGAGGGUUCUCGUUCCUAUAGCUCUCCUCUGUCCUUCAGCCAUGCGACUGACAUCUCUUUCAGGGCCCAUGGAACAAUAAUAGAUGCACUCAGGGCGGAAGCACGAUGCCAAACACCAAAGGCUCAGGUCUCAUGUCAGAGGCUGAUUUCCUCCGAGACCUACAAGUCACUUUUCAGCCUGUCAAAGGCCCUUGCUGCCACACUUGGCUGAGAUCUCCUAAACCCAAGGGAAACCUGAGCACCUUGAACUGAUCUCUUAACAAGGUGCAAGUUGGAAGGAGGAACAGAAGUGGUGGUGAGGAGGAGGCAGAGAGGCUGAGCUGUGCCCUGCAUGGAACACAUGGAAGGCAUUUCCAGUGAUGCCCUAUUUGUAACAAACUACACCUAAGAAAAAUAAAUGUCCCAUUUCUUUCCCU